RNAcentral lists this ribosomal RNA (258 nucleotides) under Triticum aestivum (bread wheat). Its description in RNAcentral is "partial small subunit ribosomal RNA". The record is from RNAcentral. Lineage: Eukaryota; Viridiplantae; Streptophyta; Magnoliopsida; Poales; Poaceae.
AUGCCAACAACUUGUGCGCAUUGGACCUCUCCGACCUUGGCAGGGCUCCCAAGUUGCUGCAUGACUGGCAGGUCCUCGACAGGCCUCAUGGAUGGGUGCAGAAAAGGGGUAGCCUGCUGUACCUUGGCGCCGGCAGGUUUUGCAUCUUUGGAAAAUUUGACACCGGGGAGCAAGAUGAUCAGGGUAAUCCCAGCAACACGGCGGCUGUGCUCACCGGUGUGGAGGUGGUACUCGAAGGGUCAUCUGAACUCCAAAUGA